UACAGAGGGUGCGAGCGUUAAUCGGAAUUACUGGGCGUAAAGCGUGCGUAGACGGUUACGUAAGUCGGAUGUGAAAUCCCCGGGCUCAACCUGGGAAUUGCAUUCGAGACUGUGUAGCUGGGGUGCGGAAGAGGGAAGCGGAAUUCCCGGUGUAGCGGUGAAAUGCGUAGAGAUCGGGAGGAACACCAGAGGCGAAGGCGGCUUCCUGGUCUGCGACUGACGCUGUGGCGCGAAAGCUAGGGGAGCAAACGGG
This 253-nucleotide ribosomal RNA is filed under the name uncultured bacterium. RNAcentral's name for it is "partial 16S ribosomal RNA". It matches the Rfam family "Bacterial small subunit ribosomal RNA", at positions 524 to 776 of the family's 1533-position model. The record is from RNAcentral.